GAUAAUGAAGGGUUGUUAGACUUUCUAAACUUGACCAAGGUCAAGAGAGCGAUGGCUGACCCAACCGCGAUAUCUAGGGAGGGGAACUUCAAUCUCCUUGCCUUCGAGCUGAUAGUAGGCACCAUUCAAAGGAUGCAAAAGAAGCACAAAUGGUAUGAUGGAUUGAAUAUGAUGCUUGUCAUGGGAGGUGAGCAACCUGAUAAGCCCUCCGAGAAUUGGCAAGCUUGGAGCCCUAAACACCAUGAGGUAGGGGCCCUUUUGCCAUCGAACAAUUAUAUUAUUCAAGUUUUGGUUUAUUUUGGAAUCUCGACAUGCUAGCUUGUCCCAAAUAGCUACCACAUACUCACAUGCAUGUAAGUUUUAUAUAGGUCACUUAAUUGACCCUCAUCGACCCUCAGGAAAUCAACUAUUUCUACGACCUGGAGCCUAACCCUGUGAGUUACGACUGGGGUUUUUAUCACAUGCACGCUUGAGGAGGUGUAAUUUUUUAUGAUUAGUGGAGUGUCCAACACCAGCAACUACAUACAUAAUACUUUAUGGAAUAAGGGUUCACAACAGAGCAAAAUACCUUUGGAGUCAUCGGUAAGUGUUCACAACUUUAGCAUGUUAGUGCAUUCUCAAGCAUCCUAUGCCUUGCCGUCAUUCUAGGCUCAUCAAUUUUAGGCUCUUACAAGAGACCUAGUGCCUAACUGGAAUAUGACGACCACCUAUGGAAUAUUCAUAAGUUGGACAUACCCAUUCGUACAACCCAUCUCUGCUGAUUAUGAUAACAUGGCGGAUUAUGGUAUCUUCCACAGCCACCAUUCAUUUAAUCGCAAAUUGGACCCACCAUCGACAGGUCGGGUGCAAGUGGCGAUCCCCAUCUGCCAGGUAAGAGUAUGGUUUGCCGAAGGGGUGGCACCUGCACACAAGGCUAGAGGACCUGUUUGUGAGGCCUCUUCAUGCAUGGGCUCAUCGGACUCAUUCGAAGAUAGCGAGGUUGGAGUCGUGCAGAUCUCUUCCUCCCUCAAGACCCACGAGACAUUUAUGAGGCAAGGUCCACCUUGACCCCAUGUCGGCUUGCUCUUCUACAAGCCAAUGGUACAUCGCGGAAGACGAGAAGGGAAAAACCGAUGGUUCGAUGGUUGAUGAGAUCAACAUGGAAUCUUUACUCAACGCACAUUCGCCAUCAAAAAGAAGGUCGAGCAGAAGAAGAAGUAAAAUUCUAGGAAGACCACGCAGGAAUAGCCUACGAAGAAGGUGGUCUUGCCUCUGCUGACCGAGACUGGCCCCCAGGCAACCCCAAAGGCAGACCCCAAGGUUGCUGAGAAGGAUAAGGAACCUCACUAAAUGGUGACACCCUUGCGUAAAAUGGUCGGGGCUGUGAAAGACAUGAUCGAUGCUGUCUGCGAAGGGGCGCAGAUCCUAGAGACGUGGCCCAUGGUCACAUCGAGGUUCUCCAUGGACUUAGUUCACCAACAGAUGGUGAACGUGGCCCAUUAUUUCUUUCAUGCAUCGAUGAAAACAGUCCUCCUUUUGCAACAGUUGAAGCGAGAGGCUAAGGAGAAAAAGGCCAUUGAGGAUAAACUCGCUGAGGUGGCGCAGGUACUGAAGGUCGCUAAACCCGCAAGGCUAAGCACAAUGCCAACAACAUGUUCUACCUCAUUUGAAAGUAUAGUAGAAGUGUUGCCUUGUCCCGGGGGGGG
This is a long non-coding RNA of Humulus lupulus (European hop), 1685 nucleotides long. RefSeq lists it as uncharacterized. The record is from RefSeq and is a predicted model, not a curated record. The transcript is spliced from 3 exons. Lineage: Eukaryota; Viridiplantae; Streptophyta; Magnoliopsida; Rosales; Cannabaceae.